RNAcentral lists this ribosomal RNA (823 nucleotides) under Skeletocutis amorpha. RNAcentral's name for it is "eukaryotic LSU rRNA". The stretch from base 273 to 426 matches the Rfam family "5.8S ribosomal RNA". Lineage: Eukaryota; Fungi; Basidiomycota; Agaricomycetes; Polyporales; Incrustoporiaceae. The record is from RNAcentral.
AAAAGUCGUAACAAGGUUUCNGUAGGUGAACCUGCGGAAGGAUCAUUAUCGAGUCUUUGAAAGAGGUUGUAGCUGGUCCUUAGGGGCAUGUGCACGCCUCGCUCAUCCCAACUCUCUCAACCCCUGUGAACCCACUGUAGGUCGCGGUACUUCCAAAGGGAAGGGUGUUCGGGGCGCGAGCCCCUAACCUUGAACUGAGGGUCCGUCCUACGUCUUUAACAAACACCCAAAAUGUAUCAGAAUGUAUUCGCGCUUAAUAAACGCAUCAAUAUAACUUUCAGCAACGGAUCUCUUGGCUCUCGCAUCGAUGAAGAACGCAGCGAAAUGCGAUAAGUAAUGUGAAUUGCAGAAUUCAGUGAAUCAUCGAAUCUUUGAACGCACCUUGCGCCCUUUGGUAUUCCGAAGGGCAUGCCCGUUUGAGUGUCAUUGUAUUCUCAAACCCACCCCUCGCUUUUCGUGAGUGCGGUCGGGUUUGGAUUUGGAGGUUUUUGCGGUUUUUCAAAUUGCUCCUCUUGAAUGCAUUAGCUGGAACCUUUGGACCGGCCUUCGGUGUGAUAACUAUCUACGCCGUGGUCACCGGGUGUCGAGGAUCUGCUUAUAAUUGUCUCCGGACAAACUUUUCUGACAUCUGACCUCAAAUCGGGUAGGACUACCCGCUGAACUUAAGCAUAUCAAUAAGCGGAGGAAAAGAAACUAACAAGGAUUCCCCUAGUAACUGCGAGUGAAGAGGGAAAAGCUCAAAUUUAAAAUCUGGCGGUUUUGGCCGUCCGAGUUGUAGUCUGGAGAAGUGCUUUCCGCGCUNNNNNGUGUACANNUCNNNUGA